RNAcentral lists this ribosomal RNA (3004 nucleotides) under Salmonella enterica subsp. enterica serovar Derby. Its description in RNAcentral is "bacterial LSU rRNA". It matches the Rfam family "Bacterial large subunit ribosomal RNA". The record is from RNAcentral. Lineage: Bacteria; Pseudomonadati; Pseudomonadota; Gammaproteobacteria; Enterobacterales; Enterobacteriaceae.
UUAAGCGACUAAGCGUACACGGUGGAUGCCCUGGCAGUCAGAGGCGAUGAAGGGCGUGCUAAUCUGCGAUAAGCGCCGGUAAGGUGAUAUGAACCGUUAUAACCGGCGAUACCCGAAUGGGGAAACCCAGUGUGAUUCGUCACACUAUCAUUAACUGAAUCCAUAGGUUAAUGAGGCGAACCGGGGAACUGAAACAUCUAAGUACCCCGAGGAAAAGAAAUCAACCGAGAUUCCCCCAGUAGCGGCGAGCGAACGGGGAGGAGCCCAGAGCCUGAAUCAGCAUGUGUGUUAGUGGAAGCGUCUGGAAAGGCGCGCGAUACAGGGUGACAGCCCCGUACACAAAAGCGCAUGUGCUGUGAGCUCGAUGAGUAGGGCGGGACACGUGGUAUCCUGUCUGAAUAUGGGGGGACCAUCCUCCAAGGCUAAAUACUCCUGACUGACCGAUAGUGAACCAGUACCGUGAGGGAAAGGCGAAAAGAACCCCGGCGAGGGGAGUGAAAAAGAACCUGAAACCGUGUACGUACAAGCAGUGGGAGCCCCACCACUAAGCCAGUGGUGAACUCCACAUACGCAUCCUUUGCUGAGGAUACGGUUAACGGAGCGAAAGCGACGUUCAACCUCAAAAGAAGCAGAGGGGGCUUAGUGGUGGGGUGACUGCGUACCUUUUGUAUAAUGGGUCAGCGACUUAUAUUCUGUAGCAAGGUUAACCGAAUAGGGGAGCCGGAGGGAAACCGAGUCUUAAUUGGGCGUUAAGUUGCAGGGUAUAGACCCGAAACCCGGUGAUCUAGCCAUGGGCAGGUUGAAGGUUGGGUAACACUAACUGGAGGACCGAACCGACUAAUGUUGAAAAAUUAGCGGAUGACCUGUGGCUGGGGGUGAAAGGCCAAUCAAACCGGGAGAUAGCUGGUUCUCCCCGAAAGCUAUUUAGGUAGCGCCUCGUGAAUUCAUCUCCGGGGGUAGAGCACUGUUUCGGCUAGGGGGCCAUCCCGGCUUACCAACCCGAUGCAAACUGCGAAUACCGGAGAAUGUUAUCACGGGAGACACACGGCGGGUGCUAACGUCCGUCGUGAAGAGGGAAACAACCCAGACCGCCAGCUAAGGUCCCAAAGUCAUGGUUAAGUGGGAAACGAUGUGGGAAGGCCCAGACAGCCAGGAUGUUGGCUUAGAAGCAGCCAUCAUUUAAAGAAAGCGUAAUAGCUCACUGGUCGAGUCGGCCUGCGCGGAAGAUGUAACGGGGCUAAACCAUGCACCGAAGCUGCGGCAGCGACGCUUAUGCGUUGUUGGGUAGGGGAGCGUUCUGUAAGCCUGUGAAGGUGGCCUGUGAGGGUUGCUGGAGGUAUCAGAAGUGCGAAUGCUGACAUAAGUAACGAUAAAGCGGGUGAAAAGCCCGCUCGCCGGAAGACCAAGGGUUCCUGUCCAACGUUAAUCGGGGCAGGGUGAGUCGACCCCUAAGGCGAGGCCGAAAGGCGUAGUCGAUGGGAAACGGGUUAAUAUUCCCGUACUUGGUGUUACUGCGAAGGGGGGACGGAGAAGGCUAUGUUGGCCGGGCGACGGUUGUCCCGGUUUAAGCGUGUAGGUGUGUGUUCCAGGUAAAUCCGGUUCACUUUAACACUGAGGCGUGACGACGAGGCACUACGGUGCUGAAGCAACAAAUGCCCUGCUUCCAGGAAAAGCCUCUAAGCAUCAGGUAACAUCAAAUCGUACCCCAAACCGACACAGGUGGUCAGGUAGAGAAUACCAAGGCGCUUGAGAGAACUCGGGUGAAGGAACUAGGCAAAAUGGUGCCGUAACUUCGGGAGAAGGCACGCUGACACGUAGGUGAAGUGAUUUACUCACGGAGCUGAAGUCAGUCGAAGAUACCAGCUGGCUGCAACUGUUUAUUAAAAACACAGCACUGUGCAAACACGAAAGUGGACGUAUACGGUGUGACGCCUGCCCGGUGCCGGAAGGUUAAUUGAUGGGGUCAGCGCAAGCGAAGCUCCUGAUCGAAGCCCCGGUAAACGGCGGCCGUAACUAUAACGGUCCUAAGGUAGCGAAAUUCCUUGUCGGGUAAGUUCCGACCUGCACGAAUGGCGUAAUGAUGGCCAGGCUGUCUCCACCCGAGACUCAGUGAAAUUGAACUCGCUGUGAAGAUGCAGUGUACCCGCGGCAAGACGGAAAGACCCCGUGAACCUUUACUAUAGCUUGACACUGAACAUUGAGCCUUGAUGUGUAGGAUAGGUGGGAGGCUUUGAAGUGUGGACGCCAGUCUGCAUGGAGCCGACCUUGAAAUACCACCCUUUAAUGUUUGAUGUUCUAACGUGGACCCGUAAUCCGGGUUGCGGACAGUGUCUGGUGGGUAGUUUGACUGGGGCGGUCUCCUCCUAAAGAGUAACGGAGGAGCACGAAGGUUGGCUAAUCCUGGUCGGACAUCAGGAGGUUAGUGCAAUGGCAUAAGCCAGCUUGACUGCGAGCGUGACGGCGCGAGCAGGUGCGAAAGCAGGUCAUAGUGAUCCGGUGGUUCUGAAUGGAAGGGCCAUCGCUCAACGGAUAAAAGGUACUCCGGGGAUAACAGGCUGAUACCGCCCAAGAGUUCAUAUCGACGGCGGUGUUUGGCACCUCGAUGUCGGCUCAUCACAUCCUGGGGCUGAAGUAGGUCCCAAGGGUAUGGCUGUUCGCCAUUUAAAGUGGUACGCGAGCUGGGUUUAGAACGUCGUGAGACAGUUCGGUCCCUAUCUGCCGUGGGCGCUGGAGAACUGAGGGGGGCUGCUCCUAGUACGAGAGGACCGGAGUGGACGCAUCACUGGUGUUCGGGUUGUCAUGCCAAUGGCACUGCCCGGUAGCUAAAUGCGGAAGAGAUAAGUGCUGAAAGCAUCUAAGCACGAAACUUGCCCCGAGAUGAGUUCUCCCUGAGACUUAGAGUCUCCUGAAGGAACGUUGAAGACGACGACGUUGAUAGGCCGGGUGUGUAAGCGCAGCGAUGCGUUGAGCUAACCGGUACUAAUGAACCGUGAGGCUUAACCUU